UUAACCGCAUCCCUCCUCCCGGCCGGCGGCACAUCCCCUUCUCGUCCGCUCUCUGCUUCCCACAUCCCCCCGUGCGAGAUUGUCCGUGAUGGAGGUGCCAAGAGAGACGGCGGCGGCGGCCCCAUCACGCCUCCGUCCUCCAAGAACUUCAGAGAUUGCGGGCGGAAUUGGUCCUGACGCACGAUUUCGCUGAUCUUCGUGCACGAGACAAAAGGUAUAGAUAAACAAGGCAAGGAGCUUCAUUUAAAUCUUUAUACAAGAAAAGCUCAGUGAUAGCCAAUCCAAAGCUUACAUAUUAAGAAGAAGAAGAAGAAGAAGAAGAAGAAGAAAUGGCAGGGUCAGGUUCGCCUGAGCCGAUGAACUCGUUGAAGCCUUCCCUCUCGCUUUGAAGCAACAGCAGUGCCAUCUCCGAGUCAUUAUCUACACCAAAAUCCGAGACCACCUGUUCGCUCACAAAACUGCCACCCUCGUGGC
Musa acuminata AAA Group (dessert banana) is the source of this 474-nucleotide long non-coding RNA. RefSeq lists it as uncharacterized. The transcript is spliced from 4 exons. The record is from RefSeq and is a predicted model, not a curated record. NCBI's taxonomy places the organism in Eukaryota, Viridiplantae, Streptophyta, Magnoliopsida, Zingiberales, Musaceae.